GCUCAGAUUGAACGCUGGCGGCAGGCCUAACACAUGCAAGUCGAGCGGCAGCGGAAAGUAGCUUGCUACUUUGCCGGCGAGCGGCGGACGGGUGAGUAAUGUCUGGGAAACUGCCUGAUGGAGGGGGAUAACUACUGGAAACGGUAGCUAAUACCGCAUGACCUCGAAAGAGCAAAGUGGGGGAUCUUCGGACCUCACGCCAUCGGAUGUGCCCAGAUGGGAUUAGCUAGUAGGUGAGGUAAUGGCUCACCUAGGCGACGAUCCCUAGCUGGUCUGAGAGGAUGACCAGCCACACUGGAACUGAGACACGGUCCAGACUCCUACGGGAGGCAGCAGUGGGGAAUAUUGCACAAUGGGCGCAAGCCUGAUGCAGCCAUGCCGCGUGUGUGAAGAAGGCCUUAGGGUUGUAAAGCACUUUCAGCGAGGAGGAAGGCAUCAUACUUAAUACGUGUGGUGAUUGACGUUACUCGCAGAAGAAGCACCGGCUAACUCCGUGCCAGC
This 501-nucleotide ribosomal RNA is filed under the name Rahnella aquatilis. Its description in RNAcentral is "bacterial SSU rRNA". It matches the Rfam family "Bacterial small subunit ribosomal RNA", at positions 22 to 512 of the family's 1533-position model. The record is from RNAcentral. Lineage: Bacteria; Pseudomonadati; Pseudomonadota; Gammaproteobacteria; Enterobacterales; Yersiniaceae.